GACGACGCUGGCGGCGUGCCUAACACAUGCAAGUCGAGCGGAGGUAUUCAAGGAGCAAUCUGCGGAUACUUUAGCGGCGGACGGGUGAGUAACGCGUGAGCAACCUGCCUUUCACAGGGGGAUAAGGCGGCGAAAGCCGCUCUAAUACCGCAUGAGACCCCGGUGGUGAUACCACAGUGGUCAAAGGAGCAAUCCGGUGAGAGAUGGGCUCGCGUCCGAUUAGGUAGUUGGUGGGGUAAAGGCUCACCAAGCCAAUGAUCGGUAGCCGGCCUGAGAGGGUGAACGGCCACAUUGGAACUGAGAGACGGUCCAAACUCCUACGGGAGGCAGCAGUGGGGAAUAUUGGGCAAUGGGGGAAACCCUGACCCAGCAACGCCGCGUGAGGGAAGAAGGUUUUCGGAUUGUAAACCUCUGUUCUUGGGGAAGAGCAGAAGACGGUACCCAAGGAGGAAGCCCCGGCUAACUACGUG
This 470-nucleotide ribosomal RNA is filed under the name uncultured bacterium. RNAcentral's name for it is "bacterial SSU rRNA". It matches the Rfam family "Bacterial small subunit ribosomal RNA", at positions 33 to 507 of the family's 1533-position model. The record is from RNAcentral.